RNAcentral lists this transfer RNA (90 nucleotides) under Chloroflexota bacterium. RNAcentral's name for it is "Chloroflexi bacterium tRNA-Ser". It matches the Rfam family "tRNA". From Rfam's summary of the family: Transfer RNA (tRNA) molecules are approximately 80 nucleotides in length. Their secondary structure includes four short double-helical elements and three loops (D, anti-codon, and T loops). Further hydrogen bonds mediate the characteristic L-shaped molecular structure. tRNAs have two regions of fundamental functional importance: the anti-codon, which is responsible for specific mRNA codon recognition, and the 3' end, to which the tRNAs corresponding amino acid is attached (by aminoacyl-tRNA synthetases). tRNAs cope with the degeneracy of the genetic code in two manners: having more than one tRNA (with a specific anti-codon) for a particular amino acid; and 'wobble' base-pairing, i.e. permitting non-standard base-pairing at the 3rd anti-codon position. RNAcentral also lists the same sequence under 1 other name. The record is from RNAcentral. Lineage: Bacteria; Bacillati; Chloroflexota.
GGAGAGGUCGCAUAGUGGCCUAGUGCGGAGGUUUGCUAAACCUCUGAGGGGGCAACCCCUCCGUGGGUUCGACUCCCACCCUCUCCGCCA